UUGGAGGGCAAGUCUGGUGCCAGCAGCCGCGGUAAUUCCAGCUCCAAUAGCGUAUAUUAAAGUUGUUGCAGUUAAAAAGCUCGUAGUUGAAUUUCGGGAUCAGAUUGUCGGUCGUGCCUCGGUACGCACUGGCAUUAUUGGUUCCUACCUUCUGAAGAACCGCGAUGUCAUUAAUUUGGUGUCGUGGGGAAUCAGGACUGUUACUUUGAAAAAAUUAGGGUGUUUAAAGCAGGCUUACGCUUGAAUACAUUAGCAUGGAAUAAUGAAAUAGGACGUUUGAUUCUAUUUUGUUGGUUUCUAGGAUUGACGUAAUGAUUAAUAGGGAUAGUUGGGGGCAUUAGUAUUCAAUUGUCAGAGGUGAAAUUCUUGGAUUUAUUGAAGACUAACUACUGCGAAAGCAUUUGCCAAGGAUGUUUUCAUUAAUCAAGAACGAAAGUUAGGGGAUCGAAGACGAUCAGAUACCGUCGUAGUCUUAACCAUAAACUAUGCCGACUAGGGAUCGGAUGAUGUUAAUUUUUUAAUGACUCAUUCGGCGCCUUACGGGAAACCAAAGUGUUUGGGUUC
This 564-nucleotide ribosomal RNA is filed under the name uncultured Glomeromycotina. Its description in RNAcentral is "SSU rRNA". It matches the Rfam family "Eukaryotic small subunit ribosomal RNA", at positions 548 to 1114 of the family's 1831-position model. The record is from RNAcentral. Lineage: Eukaryota; Fungi; Glomeromycota.